GGGGGGAGGCCCCCUUUUUAUAGAUACAUGGAGUAAAUCAUGGCCAUCGGAUUAAAAACAGUUUGGACGCUCAGGAUUGCACCACGUCAUCAGUCAACAGUCCACGGUUUGACCACGCGGAUGAACAGUAACACGGUUUGACCCGACUUUGAACAGUAACGCGGUUUGACCCGGAUGAACAGUAACGCGGUUUGGUUGAAAAUAAUCCUGUGUGAUGCAUGCACCGUACGCGAGAUUUUUCGUCCACUGAUAUGCUGCCACGUCACCAUCAACAGUACAUAAGAAUUUUAGUCCAACAGGAUCAUGACACCUCAUCAGUCAAUGCCACAUCAUCGGUCAAUGCCACGUCAUCAUCCGUCUAUGUGAACAGUGUCGUGAACAGUAACGUAUACAGUACCGUACACGUGAAUAGUACCGUACAUGUGAAUAGUGCCAUUUUUCCUUUUAUGCUCCUCCUA
RNAcentral lists this long non-coding RNA (458 nucleotides) under Citrus x clementina. RNAcentral's name for it is "Citrus clementina (C. clementina) long non-coding RNA (CCLE_LNC000356)". The record is from RNAcentral. Lineage: Eukaryota; Viridiplantae; Streptophyta; Magnoliopsida; Sapindales; Rutaceae.